This 1372-nucleotide ribosomal RNA is filed under the name uncultured bacterium. RNAcentral describes it as "bacterial SSU rRNA". It matches the Rfam family "Bacterial small subunit ribosomal RNA", at positions 28 to 1381 of the family's 1533-position model. The record is from RNAcentral.
GAUGAACGCUGGCGGCGUGCCUAAUACAUGCAAGUCGAGCGAACGGACGAGAAGCUUGCUUCUCUGAUGUUAGCGGCGGACGGGUGAGUAACACGUGGAUAACCUACCUAUAAGACUGGGAUAACUUCGGGAAACCGGAGCUAAUACCGGAUAAUAUUUUGAACCGCAUGGUUCAAAAGUGAAAGACGGUCUUGCUGUCACUUAUAGAUGGAUCCGCGCUGCAUUAGCUAGUUGGUAAGGUAACGGCUUACCAAGGCAACGAUGCAUAGCCGACCUGAGAGGGUGAUCGGCCACACUGGAACUGAGACACGGUCCAGACUCCUACGGGAGGCAGCAGUAGGGAAUCUUCCGCAAUGGGCGAAAGCCUGACGGAGCAACGCCGCGUGAGUGAUGAAGGUCUUCGGAUCGUAAAACUCUGUUAUUAGGGAAGAACAUAUGUGUAAGUAACUGUGCACAUCUUGACGGUACCUAAUCAGAAAGCCACGGCUAACUACGUGCCAGCAGCCGCGGUAAUACGUAGGUGGCAAGCGUUAUCCGGAAUUAUUGGGCGUAAAGCGCGCGUAGGCGGUUUUUUAAGUCUGAUGUGAAAGCCCACGGCUCAACCGUGGAGGGUCAUUGGAAACUGGAAAACUUGAGUGCAGAAGAGGAAAGUGGAAUUCCAUGUGUAGCGGUGAAAUGCGCAGAGAUAUGGAGGAACACCAGUGGCGAAGGCGACUUUCUGGUCUGUAACUGACGCUGAUGUGCGAAAGCGUGGGGAUCAAACAGGAUUAGAUACCCUGGUAGUCCACGCCGUAAACGAUGAGUGCUAAGUGUUAGGGGGUUUCCGCCCCUUAGUGCUGCAGCUAACGCAUUAAGCACUCCGCCUGGGGAGUACGACCGCAAGGUUGAAACUCAAAGGAAUUGACGGGGACCCGCACAAGCGGUGGAGCAUGUGGUUUAAUUCGAAGCAACGCGAAGAACCUUACCAAAUCUUGACAUCCUUUGACAACUCUAGAGAUAGAGCCUUCCCCUUCGGGGGACAAAGUGACAGGUGGUGCAUGGUUGUCGUCAGCUCGUGUCGUGAGAUGUUGGGUUAAGUCCCGCAACGAGCGCAACCCUUAAGCUUAGUUGCCAUCAUUAAGUUGGGCACUCUAAGUUGACUGCCGGUGACAAACCGGAGGAAGGUGGGGAUGACGUCAAAUCAUCAUGCCCCUUAUGAUUUGGGCUACACACGUGCUACAAUGGACAAUACAAAGGGCAGCGAAACCGCGAGGUCAAGCAAAUCCCAUAAAGUUGUUCUCAGUUCGGAUUGUAGUCUGCAACUCCACUACAUGAAGCUGGAAUCGCUAGUAAUCGUAGAUCAGCAUGCUACGGUGAAUACGUUCCCGGGUCU